Molecule: microRNA precursor, 193 nt
Filed under: Oryza nivara
Lineage: Eukaryota; Viridiplantae; Streptophyta; Magnoliopsida; Poales; Poaceae
Description: MIR812 microRNA precursor family
Rfam family: MIR812 microRNA precursor family
Source: Rfam by way of RNAcentral
AAAAAAACAAACCCUAUAUUUUCGUGUCCAAUUUUAACUGUCCGUCUUGUAUGAAAUUUUUUUAUAAUUCUUUUAAAUAAAAAAAUAUUAUUAAUACUUUAUGUGUGACUUGUCUUUUUAAUUUUUUUUCAUAAUUUUUUUAAAUAAGACGGACGGUCAAACGUUGGACAUGAAAACCAGGGUUUGUCUUUUU